UCCCUCUAAGGAUCGCACCUAGAGAGUUUCCAGCAGUCUACCAGCCUCACAUACAAGAGGGAAAGUCAAGCAGAGGCCUACUCAUUCCAUUCCUAGCUUGGCCAGUGGCUAUCGAGUGGAAGGCAAUCUGCUACAAGG
Small nucleolar RNA from Tachyglossus aculeatus (Australian echidna), 138 nucleotides. Lineage: Eukaryota; Metazoa; Chordata; Mammalia; Monotremata; Tachyglossidae. The record is from RefSeq and is a predicted model, not a curated record.